Molecule: non-coding RNA, 235 nt
Organism: Pelobates cultripes (western spadefoot toad)
Lineage: Eukaryota; Metazoa; Chordata; Amphibia; Anura; Pelobatidae
Source: the annotation of a GenBank genome assembly
CAGGUUUCUCGUGAAUUGCUGAUGCUGGGUUACCUUCACCCUUGUCUUAUCCACAAGCUGCAAUAAACCUAUUUUAGAGUGGGGACUUAUCACAUUUUGGACACAGUUAUAUCUUUAUGGCUUUUGUGUUUGUGUAUUUUUAUUCAUUAUCUGUUUACUAUUGGUUACAGUUCUGUAUUUGCGGAUCACCACAUGUAGGUCAUGAAUUAUAUUGUAUAAAUGCAUAUUACUGUUU